GAUCCUGGCUCAGGACGAACGCUGGCGGCGUGCCUAAUACAUGCAAGUCGAACGAGAGCGACUGGUGCUUGCACUGGUCAAUCUAGUGGCGAACGGGUGAGUAACACGUGGGUAACCUGCCCAUCAGAGGGGGAUAACAUUCGGAAACGGAUGCUAAAACCGCAUAGGUCCUUUAACCGCAUGGUUGAAGGAGGAAAAAGAGGCGCAAGCUUCUGCUGAUGGAUGGACCCGCGGUGCA
This 238-nucleotide ribosomal RNA is filed under the name uncultured bacterium. RNAcentral's name for it is "partial 16S ribosomal RNA". It matches the Rfam family "Bacterial small subunit ribosomal RNA", at positions 15 to 240 of the family's 1533-position model. The record is from RNAcentral.